AACCGAGGUCUUUAUCUCCUCAUCCUUUCCUUCUCCUUUUCUCCUUAUCUGUUUUCUCUUUUCGUCGCGUGGGCAUGUGCUUCAAGGAGGAGAUCCGGCCGCCGAGCAAGUACUGCGACUCCAGCAGCACGGAGUGGCCGUGCUUCCCCGGCAAGUCCUACCACGGCCGCGGGCCCAUCCAGCUCUCCUGGUCGCAUGAUGCUAGGAACUUCAACUACGGGCCGGCAGGCAAGGCGCUGGGCUUCGACUGCCUGCGCGAGCCGGGGGUGGUGGCCGGCGACCCGGACGUGGCUCGGCCUCGGCAGCCAUUCCGCGAGGCCCCCCGCAGGCGAGCGAGUGGACUCACGGCUGCACCGCCGCUGGCCAUAAAUCUUUAAUUUUUUUUGUUUUCAGAUAUGUAGUUGAAUGCUGAAUCUUUUCAUGUUGAAUCUCUCAUGUUGUAUAAUUUUUCUUGUAAUCUUGGGUCUCCUGUUGUAAUCUAAAUGAAGCUUUUCCGGCUCCUCAUCCCUUUUCUUUCUGCUCUUAGAUUUCUUCCCACCGCCAUCUACUUAUCUUUUUUCUCUGUUCUUGAUUCUUGAAGAGCAGAGGAGAAAGAUGAAGGUGGUAGAAACAAAAAUGAGAGGGGAGAGAAAGAUGAGGAGCUGGAGAAGCAAUCUAA
Molecule: RNA transcript, 658 nt
Organism: Panicum virgatum (switchgrass)
Lineage: Eukaryota; Viridiplantae; Streptophyta; Magnoliopsida; Poales; Poaceae
Gene name: chitinase 10-like
Exons: 2
Source: RefSeq, a predicted model, not a curated record